Molecule: ribosomal RNA, 274 nt
Filed under: uncultured bacterium
Lineage: Bacteria
Description: partial 16S ribosomal RNA
Rfam family: Bacterial small subunit ribosomal RNA
Source: RNAcentral
AUACGGAGGGUGCGAGCGUUAAUCGGAAUUACUGGGCGUAAAGCGUACGUAGGCGGUUGGUUAAGUUAGAUGUGAAAGCCCCGGGCUUAACCUGGGGACUGCGUUUAAAACUGGCGAACUAGAGUUGAGUAGAGGGGAGUGGAAUUUCAGGUGUAGCGGUGAAAUGCGUAGAGAUCUGAAGGAACACCAGUGGCGAAGGCGACUCCCUGGACUCGAACUGACGCUGAGGUACGAAAGCGUGGGUAGCAAACGGGAUUAGAAACCCUAGUAGUCC